This 297-nucleotide long non-coding RNA is filed under the name Mus musculus (house mouse). RNAcentral describes it as "long non-coding RNA chr1:132939687-132939984". The record is from RNAcentral. Lineage: Eukaryota; Metazoa; Chordata; Mammalia; Rodentia; Muridae.
UCCUCUUCUCUUUCUUUGUACAGUCUCAGUUGCUUGCUCCUCCCCCUCCUGGGCAAGGGCUGAAAGAGGCUUCUCCUACCUGUCUUGGGAGCCUGCCCCAAAAGCAGGAGUGUCCCCAGCUGGAUCUGAAGGAUAUUUGGAGAGAGAGGUAUCCAGGGAUGCCUCAUCUCAUAGCCUGGGCUCUGAAGUUGACUUUCUAUAGGCAAUUUUGUAUCUUUGUGGAGAAAUGUGUCACCUGUCCCCAACCCAAUUCACUCUUUUUUCCUGUUUUUAAAAAAAAUAAAAAUAAACGAUGCC